This 460-nucleotide ribosomal RNA is filed under the name uncultured bacterium. RNAcentral's name for it is "partial 16S ribosomal RNA". It matches the Rfam family "Bacterial small subunit ribosomal RNA", at positions 338 to 795 of the family's 1533-position model. The record is from RNAcentral.
CCUACGGGUGGCAGCAGUGAGGAAUAUUGGUCAAUGGACGAGAGUCUGAACCAGCCAAGUAGCGUGAAGGAUGAAUGCCCUAUGGGUUGUAAACUUCUUUUAUAUGGGAAUAAAAUGUUCCACGUGUGGGAUUUUGUAUGUACCAUAUGAAUAAGGAUUGGCUAACUCCGUGCCAGCAGCCGCGGUAAUACGGAGGAUUCGAGCGUUAACCGGAUUUAUUGGGUUUAAAGGGAGCGUAGGUGGAUUGUUAAGGCAGUUGUGAAAGUUUGCGGCUCAACCGUAAAAUUGCAGUUGAAACUGGCAGUCUUGAGUACAGUAGAGGUGGGCGGAAUUCGUGGUGUAGCGGUGAAAUGCUUAGAUAUCACGAAGAACUCCGAUUGCGAAGGCAGUUCACUGGACUGCAACUGACACUGAGGCUCGAAAGUGUGGGUAUCAAACAGGAUUAGAUACCCCAGUAGUC